AGAUUUCAAAGCAGGUUCCUGAUAUUGCUCUAUCAAUUGAAAGAGAAGGUCAUACUCAUAAUUUCUCAUGCACUGAGGCUGGCUCGGUGUGGGUUGCGCGACAUGUAGCAAGCUUGAUAAAGAAGCAAAUACCAUGUCCAGGGCAAUAAGAUCUUCUCACUCCGUGUUUUUGAAUGAAGGGAACUGAUUCUCUCAGUAUUGGGAUAUGUGUCCUCAUCUAGAUGCAACAAAUCAAUGUAGAGUUGCACAGUGCACUUUACUUUCUAGAGUUUAACUUCGAUCAGCAUCAAGUUAUUCCAGGUUAGUCUUCGGGAAAUUUGUGUGUGAAUACUUUGUAACUGUGAUGAAAUCAACAAAUAGAGCCUUUCAUGAACGACUGUUGUUGAUCAGCUAGCUUGAUGUGUCCAUGUUAACUACAGUUAAAGUCUUGUACAAUGACUCAACUUUCAG
RNAcentral lists this unclassified non-coding RNA (450 nucleotides) under Hevea brasiliensis (rubber tree). The record is from RNAcentral. Lineage: Eukaryota; Viridiplantae; Streptophyta; Magnoliopsida; Malpighiales; Euphorbiaceae.